Molecule: long non-coding RNA, 224 nt
Filed under: Ananas comosus (pineapple)
Lineage: Eukaryota; Viridiplantae; Streptophyta; Magnoliopsida; Poales; Bromeliaceae
Description: long non-coding RNA (ACOM_LNC025394)
Source: RNAcentral
UUAAAUAAAAAUAAAUAAAAAUAUUGUUCUCUAAUUUAAUUUAAUUUAGUAUUAGAGUAUGAGAUGCUGAGUUUGAGUCACGUUAUACUCCUAACAUAAUUUUUUUUUUUUUCAUUCAAUUAAAAUCCAUAUCAUGAGUUUAUCAAAAAGCCUUAAACAUAGACGUGAAAAAAAAUGUUGAAUAUAAAUACGUACGAACGAAGUCAGGAAUUGAGGUAUAGGGG